CCUACGGGGGGCAGCAGUAGGGAAUAUUGCACAAUGGGGGAAACCCUGAUGCAGCAACGCCGCGUGGAGGAAGAAGGUUUUCGGAUUGUAAACCCCUUUUGUUAGAGAAGAUAAUGACGGUAUCUAACGAAUAAGCACCGGCUAACUCCGUGCCAGCAGCCGCGGUAAUACGGAGGGUGCAAGCGUUACUCGGAAUCACUGGGCGUAAAGAGUGCGUAGGCGGGAUAGCAAGUCAGAUGUGAAAUCCUAGGGCUUAACCAGAGAACUGCAUUUGAAACUGUUAUUCUAGAGUAUGGGAGAGGUAGGUGGAAUUCUUGGUGUAGGAGUGAAAUCCGUAGAGAUCAAGAGGAAUACUCAUGGCGAAGGCGACCUGCUAGAACAUAACUGACGCUGAGGCGCGAAAGCGUGGGGAGCAAACAGGAUUAGAUACCCGUGUAGUC
RNAcentral lists this ribosomal RNA (440 nucleotides) under uncultured bacterium. RNAcentral's name for it is "partial 16S ribosomal RNA". It matches the Rfam family "Bacterial small subunit ribosomal RNA", at positions 338 to 795 of the family's 1533-position model. The record is from RNAcentral.